AGGGCUGCAGUCCAGGGGCAUAGGCAGGGUGACUCCUUCCUGGAGGACGUCCCGUUACCCCGAAAGGACCGGCUGCCGGCAGCGUGCAAAGUUCUCCAGCCUAAGCGAGGUUCUAGCCAGCCAAGGCGUUGGGAAAGACGGGGCAAUUGUGCACUCCCUGCCUUCCUGAGACUCUAGCCUAGCCCGGGGCUUACAGGUGACAGUUACCUCCCCAGCACGUGCAGAGCUGAAGGGUCCUUGAGAUAACAGCAGGUACGUUUCGCUGGGCUUCAGGAGAGUCAGCCCCUACGACAGUGCCCAGAGUCACGUGCCCAUCAUGCUCAGGUGUUAGCUAUGGAAAUUAGAGUAACGUGUUUUACAGUACAUAGAGUUAGUAUUCGGGAGAGGACCGCCGCCCACCGCACACAGCACGACGGUUUCUCAGUUUCAGCUGACUUUUGAAGAGAAAUGUUUUUGCCUCAGAGUUUUCGGAAACAUCUCCUUGAUAAAGGUGUGCCUUAGUUACUUUUCUCAUUGCUGAUUCAAAAUACCCAACAGCCAAAGUCAAAGGCUCACAGUUUGUCAAGAUUUCAGUCCAUAGUCCAAACCAGCAUGGCAUGGCAGAGGGACAUCACAAAGGAGAACCAGCUUACAGCAAGCCAGCAGGAGACAAUGAAGCAGCAAGCAGUGAAACAGCAGAAGCAGCCUUCUUGCGGCCCCUUUAUAUUCUAUCCAGGCUGUAAACCCAGGGUGGGGCAGCCUUAAUCCCAGCAUCACAUCCUUAAUCUCAGUAUCACACACUCUAGAUCCAGCCACCUUCAAAAAGCCCCACCUAUCACUUUAUGAGUUUUGGGGGGAACAUCGAGAUAUAAGCCAUAACAAGGUGGAAUAAGAAAGUAUAGGAAAUGUUCUCUUUCACUAACUGAUUCCGAAAUUAUUCAUUUAGAAACAUUUGAAAAUCAAGUGGAAGCUUCAGAACUAGGUGACUCCAAUGUGAUCAAAACCGAAAACAGCUGGAACUAACCGUCCUUAAACUGGCAUGCUGGAGAUGGGUGUGGCUACACUACAGGUAAUAGUCAUGGGAAAGAUCAAGGCGGAGUCACCUUCAGGUACAGAAUUUCACAGACUGCUCAGUCUCUAGAUGAGGGGAGUACCUUCAGGAAAGAGCUUUAAAAUCUAAUUUUCCAUUAAGGUACAUAUUGAUUGAUUUUAUAUUGAUUUAUUGAUUGUGGAUUUCAUUCAUUCGUGUAUUUGUUUAUUCAUUCAAAAACCAUAUCUGAGUGCCUGUCUGCCAUGUAUCAGGCCUGGGCAAGACUUUGGUAUUAGCACAGUAACCAAGCCAGGCAGGAUCUCUGACCUCCGGGAGCAUGUAUUUGAGAGAAAGCCAAUAAAACAACCAAUAAAUAAAUAAGUAGACUGUGAUAAAUGCCAUAAAGCAGAUGGAUAACAUGGUAUGGUGUUAAUAAUCAAGCUAGGCAUCCUGAAAUAACAAGUUGCCCAGCUUUGGUUUUCUAAUGCUUUACUUUCUGUACCUUCCCUAACUCACCUUUAAAAUAAGUCAUCAGACAAUCACUGUAUUUGUGCUUUUGUUAUUGCAAAUAAACUGGCCCCCUCACUAUCUUAUUUUAAAGUGUCUCUUGCAUGUUAGAGUUCUUUAAAGUAGAUCGCACUUUACAAAUAAAUCAUAGGAUCAUUUCUUUUAAACUUUUUAUAUGUAUAAAAUAUGUUUCAAGAUCAUUAAAAAGGUGUUGGCUGCAUUCAAAUGAGUGAUGUUAAUUCCCUGAAAUAGUAUUGGCAGAAAAGAUGGGAAAUAAAAUCAGCCAACAACUAAGUUAUGGACUAUGGGAGAAUGUCAUAACCUCAUCUUCGCCCAGGACAUCUUGCUUUGCGGCAGCCAGCACUCUGACCCUCCUUCAGGUCUGGCUUUCCAGGACUGAUUCAAGGUUACAAGGAGUUCACCUUGGGAUCUUAUCUCUAAUUUUUUUUUUUUUGGUAUCAGGGAUCGAACCCCAUCUUAUCUCUAAUUUGCCUCAUUCAUAUAAAUGUUGCCUGGCUGAGAUGAGUCAGACCUUUAAAAUGAUAUUUAUAUGGGUUUUUAUGAGUUCUUUGUCUUAGAAUAUAAGUUAAAUUGCUUGUCUAUGUAAAUGCUGUCUUCAAUUUUUGUUUUUACUGCAACAUAAAUGAGAUUUAUAUGAAUUAAAGUCAACAAGAAGGCUCCCCACCCAAAGCCCAUGCCCAAACAAUAAAUUAUAACUAGUAUUUAAAACAACCAGUCUGGUGUUGAAGAAACUGAGUGGCUUUUUCCAAGUAGAAGAAAGACAGGAGAAGUUUUCAAUAUUAAUGAGCAGUUCUGCUUUAAUUCUGCUGGGAGGCAUGCUGACGGCACACAAGGCUGUGUUAUAUUGGGUUGCAACAUCUGUCACUGGCUAACAUAGAAGCUAAUCUUUUAUUUCAUAUUUAGAUUUAUCAAUAUGCAUUAAAAACCCUCCAUUUUUGCAAGUCUUUCUGGGAAAGAUGUACUUUAUCUUGGUUUUUUAGUUUUUUCUCUUUCUAAAAAUAAAAGUUCAAUUUAAAACACAUUUGUCACUGGGUAGCAGGCAACAUCUGGCAGCAGGUGGUAAGAACUUGUUAUACAUGCAGAUGACCAAACAGCUUUUCUCCAAGGGAAGCUUAGAGUUGGUGAGAGAGGGGCUCGGAAUUUAAAUUUAAAUUCACCAAUUCCCAUUUUGAGCCACCCCCACCUACAAGAACAUUUAGAAGAUAGUGCUCUGUCAUUCCAUUAGGAUAGCUGCUCAGUCUUUGUAUAUUUCCCUGGGAGGGGCUAUAAAGCCUGAUCCCCAGAGUCUAGGCCUUUAAACCAGGAUCUCAUUGCCUGACCUGCUUAGGAGUCCAGGCACAUGCACAGUGUCUAAAGGUCUAAGCAAAAUGAUAGGAGGCCUGGCCCCAGCGAAAAUCUAAUGAUUUCGUCUAUCUGUAGCAGAAAAUGAAUACAGAAGGGAUUUCUUCCUCCAGAUCCACUUUGAGGUUCCUGUGUAUAUUGAAAGUGUAAGAAAUGUGCAGUGUCACCCAUUGCUGCUUAUUUCACAUUUAUAAAACAUGAAUAUUCCCAAUGUGAACUUUAUAACAACUGACAUAUUUUAUCAUAUUCAGUCUCUCAGUGAUUCACAAGGGAAUUAGUGUACCUUUCAUUUUUUUUUUUUUCAUGUAGGCAAGGAAAUUAGAAUGAAUCUAUCAGAUUUAAUUCAAUUGAGCCCAUAGCCAAAAGAAGUCAAAGAAAAAAAAUCAAAUACUGGGUCUAAAUUAAAACUAUUUUCAUCUAGAUGGAAUGGUAUUACCAGCUCUUCUGCCUCCAAGAAAUAGAAAUAUAAAGAAUAAACUUCUGAAAUCUCUGAAUCCCAGCAGAAAUACAGGCUGGCAGAACACAUACAGUGUCCUGCUCCCUCGGCAUGAAUUUGCUGCUGACUGAAGGUUGCAGUGAAGGUGAGCAACUGCUCAGAAACCAGGACUGGUUUUAUCCUUUCCUAGUGGCCAGGUUCUUGGUCUUUUGGAGAACACCUAAGGGUUUACUACCUGUUGGACCACAGACUUCAAGCCAGCAAACAUUUUCCAGUAAGGAAUGGAGUCUGAGAGCCACAUCCUGUCCCCAAGUCCCACUAUUUUCAAAGUUUCAACUAAUGGCUCGAAUCUAAUCCCAUAGGCACAUAUUUUGUCAACCUGUAUUUUGAAGACAGUGGAACUCAUCAGCUAUAACCUAAAGCUGAAUGUAGCCAGAAAACAGUAAGAAAACAGGCAAGAAUUUUUCUUGUCCCUUUUGUCUAUGUUUCCAACUUUUCUUUCCACAGUCUCAUCUACUUCUGAGUUCUUUUAAUUGCCUUUUGACUAUGACUGUGUCCACUGUGUAUCAAGGAAUUUAAUCACUUAGUCUGGACUUUGCUUCUGGGAGCCUAAAGACACUAUUAGAAAUAUAUUAUAAAGCGUGGUAAUAUCACAACCAAAACAAAUUGCCAAACUCAAAAUCACAGGAAAGGACACAUGGACAUAAUCUCUACUCAUAAAAAGUAUUAUUGCUUGGGAAAUUUUUUCUUUAUUAACUUUGUAUUUUGACAUCAUUUUAGGCUUUAAAAAUUUAAAAAAUGUAGAUUGUAUAUCUUUUACCUAGAUUCCCCAAAUUUUAAUGUUUUAUACAAUCACAGUGAUGUGAAUAAAAUUAUCAAAAUCAGGAAAUUAACUUGAUACAAUGCAAUUAUCUAAUCUUCAGACACUCAAAGUUUGUCCAUUGUCCCAUUAAAGUUCUUUUUAUGGCCCAGAAUUCAAUCAAGAAUUUCAUGUUAUAUUUAAUUAUACUUGUUCAUAGUUUCCUUUAAUUUUUUUUUUCUUUUUGUACCUGGGAUUGAACUCAGAACCUUGCACUUGCGAGGCAGGCACAGCACCACUGAGCUAAAUCCCAGCCCUAUAGUUUCCUUUAAUUUACAAUGCUUCUUUAGUCUUCCUUUGCCUUUCAUGACCUUGACACUUUCAAAGGGAAGUGCCCCUCAAUUUGGGCCCAUCUGAUGGUUCUUGGUGGUUAGAUUCAGUUGUACAUUUUGAUGCAGGUUUCAGGACAUUGAUAUAUCCUGUUACUGGUGAGAUUAACUCUAAUUCUUUGGUUAAGGUUGAGCAGUGGUUACCACUAUGGUUACCUUUUCCUCUUUGCAAAUACUAAGUAUCCUAUAAAGAGAUAUUUUGAGACUAUCCUGUUCCUCAUCAUACAUUCACCCAUUACUUUCAGCAUCAUUUGAUGAUUCUUAUCUGAAACAAUAAUGACUGUGAUGUUUUCCAUAAGGUGAUUUUCUAAUUUCAUUAUUUCUUUUUAUGUAUAUUUAUUGGAAUUAUAUGAACAGGGAGAACUCUUUCUCCUCUAUUUAUUUAUUUAUUUAUUUCAUGUCAAACAUUUCAAUGUACUUUGAACUGUCUGUAAGGAUACCUGACACAUGAGUACCACCAUCCUUGUAAGAUUAGACACUAAAAUCGAUGUUCCUCAGCACAGGAGAGAGGCCUAACAUGACCUCACUGACCCCAUGUACCUCACUGCACCUGAUCACCCCACACAGCUGGUUUCUCACCUGAUCAUUCCUGCUUACACUGUACCCUCCCCAACUUGCCUACAACCUCUUGUCUUCUGUUUUUUGGUUUUGGUUUUGGUUUUGGUUUGAGACCAGGUCUCCCUAAGUGGUCUAGGCUGGCCUGGAAUUUACAAUUAUCCUUCCUCAGCCUCUCAAAUGCUGAGAUUAUAGACCUGCACCAUGAUGCCUGCCUCCCUACUAUUUCUUCCCUAGGUCGGCAGAUCAAAGGCAUCUCACCAGGAGGUUAUUCCUUGGCCCUUAGACAUUCCCAACCUGGCUACCUGAGUGUCCUUCUAAGUCCUUUCAUGAUAUUAUUUUUAAAUUCUUCUGCUGCUCUUACAUACUGUCCUAUACUGGUCUGUUUAUGUGAAUCUCCUCAAAGAGGCUCUAAAGUUCCAGAGGACAUAGAUUAUCUUAGACUCCACAAGAAAGAUGGAAGCAACCCUAUGGCAUUUGUGGUUCUGCCAACAGGAAUAUUCUUUAGCCUGCAUGGUCUGUGUACAGAAAUUUUUGGAAGCAAAGGGAUAUGGUCUUCUGUCCCUUUUUUUUCUUCCCUCAUCCAUUAUAAUUUGAUUCUCAGGUGCCGGGGAUUUAGCUCAGUGGUUCCACCACCUUCCUGGAAAGCACAAGGUCCCGAGUUUGAUCCCCAGUACCAAAAAACAGAAACAACAACAAUAAUUUGGUUCUCAAAUUGCCAUGGCAAUCAACAGUCGUGGAGCACAGAUUUAUGUAUUCACUUAGCCAUGAAGACACAAAAUUUGAAGGAUUUGUCAUAUCUCCUGAUCGUGCCUCAGAAGUUGAGGGCUUAUCUUUCAGGUGAGCAGCCAUCAGGGUAGGCUACAGACUGGGAAUGUGUGUGUGUGUGUGUGUGUGUGUGUGUCUGACCACAUGCUCUUCCAACCUUACAUAAUAGCUAAAGCAGUAUGGCAAAAUGUAGAUUAAAUAUGCCAUGAGUUGGUGGGGUGAUGGCCAUAUAAGUGAUAUAAGCUCUCUGGAAAAUAAUUUGGUGUGCACUAAAAUAAGAUUCAAAUAUAUUUCUGAACUUAUGUCCAUAGUUUCAACAUAUAAAAAAAGAAUGACGGCCAGAGAUUUAGGUGGUUUCCCCACCUGCUGCUCAAGCGCAAGGACCAGAGUUCGAUCCUCAGUACCAAAAAAAAAAAAAAGAAUGACACAUGUAGCCAGAUAUUUAUGGAAAAGCAAAUGGAUUUAUUGCAGAUUUAUACCUAAUGGUCAUUCAUAGGACCACGUUUAAUGGUCUUAAUACUCUAAUGGUCAUUAAUCACCUAACCUAAUGGUCAUAAAUAUGUGAUCAAUGAAGAGUCAAUAAAAGAAUAGCAAAUAAUUACUGAGUAGCCCUGUAUGAUUACCAUAGGCUAUAUCAUAAAAUUUAAUCUCAGUUUCUCUUCAUGUGACAUAUACAUACAUAUGGAUACGUCUAUAUAUAUAAGUAAAAAGCAAAGAUUAUUUUAAAAUCCACAAAACUGCAUUAGUGAUGGUUAUCCUUAUCCCUGGAUAGUGAGAUCAUAGGCAUAACUGGUUUCAUCUUUAUACUUUCCGGUGUUUUUCAAGUUCUGUGCAAGUAUCGUUUUCUUUCAUUAUGCAAAUUCUUUCAACUGUCAUAUGAUAAAAGAUGAGAGGAAUCUGGUCAUGUUUGUUAGAGAGGAUUAUUAUACAAUGAUACAAGCUUUUAAAGAGAAACUGCCUCUUCUGCCCUUUUCAGGAGAGGGUUGUAUAGGAUGCACUUUUAUCUGAAUGGGACAAUUCAGUGUAGAAAAGGGAAACGUACCCUAGUAAUACUUAAGUACAUGACUCUGUUCUUCUCCCCAACAUCAUUUCUUAGUUUGUUUCUUCUGAAGCCUCAAGGCCUAAUGGAGUCUGAAGGUACAGCCGUACAAUUUCAUGGCAUCUCAAUCUUGAGCAGUGAUUGCUUGAUUGCUCAGACUCAGAGGAGUCCUAUUUGAGAGUCAGCUUGGAGAGCCUAUCAGGGGGUGAUCUCCCUUCUUCCCAUACCUUUUCCAAGGAGAUCAAAACCUCCUUCAAAGGUUAUGCCUGCCACAAUGAGAUGACAACCUUCUCUGAAGGAAAUGUUUUAGGCUCUUCGGCCAACAACCUCCCUACCAUUGAAGAACCUGAGGAAAUAGAGUCUAAGAAGAUGCAUCAACAGGAGAUAUGAAACUCAGGACAAUACAAGCCAAGUUUGCAAAUCAAGCCUCAACUUCAGACUCUGAUGAUGAAGUCUCAGCAGCUGAUCAGAAUGUCACUGGCAACAACCAGCAAAUGGAUAAGAAUCCAAAACUCAGAGGGCACAGAAUGAACCUCAUGAAUAGCUGGCCAGAAAUACAGCUUGUCCUUCCUGAGUCUGCUGAGAAAAGUAAAAAUGAUGACAGUGAAAAUCAGAAGGACAAUGAAGAAAUUGAGAGCAGUGAUGAAGAAUAUCAAGAACCUGAUGAACAUAUUCAGAAAUAUGACAAAGACAAUAGCCUCUAGCUCCAGGAAUCACUCGAGGAAGAUUUCCAGCAGGGCAGCACCUCCCCUCCACAUCCAGCUCAGGUCCCUCAUGAAGACCCCACCCAAGUCCCAGAGAUGCCGCCUAUGCUCAAGGAAGAUGAAGUUGCUGAGGAGAUGGUAAGUGAAAGACCAACAGUCAAAAGACCACCAUAAAGAUUCCUCCUCAGUCCCUCAGUACAGUCAGAGGAGGAGGACGACACUGGCCUGACACACAAACCAUAACCUAUAUGAACUAUAGGCAGGCUUUCUGCUGGCUCCGGAAAAGAGUUCUUGCUUGUUUUGGAGGAGAGUGAUGGUCAGCAGCCCACCAGCAAUCCCAACCAAGAAAAGAAGUUCUCAAGAACUUGUUCCUAAGUUCCAUGAACUUUUCAAAUCACACCAGGAUGCUGCUGCUCCUGUCUUUACAAAGAAGGGGAAGGUGACAGAAGUGUUGCAAGUGGUAAUUGACUGAGGCGGGAGGCCUCAUGUGCGUAGAUUUCUUGGCAUGAAUUGAGUUCAUGUGAGAAAUGGAUAUCUCACACCAAGAGAGUUCCUGAAAGUUGUGAAGAUGCAAUAAGCAGGCCUCUGGCUACCCUGAUCCUUUCCAGAGCAUUAUAGACGCCUCUGAGGCCAUUAGGCUCUGGAGUUUGCUAGCUUUCUUCUGCUUUUGGAAAUACUGCCUUGGCUGCCUGAUUAACUGGGAGAAACAACCUGCACACUAAGUCCAUUGUUCUGAGAGAUUCCUAUAGGAUGUGUUCCUUGGCCAAAGCCAUAUCCCAAGGGGAAUGGCUGUUGGCUUUUUGGCAGGAGAAUAAGGUCAUGCUGCGAUAAGGCGGAGCUCACAGGACUUGCUAAUGGAUCAGAUAUGGUACUUGAAGAGGACGACAGAAAUCAAAGAUGACUCCAAGGAUGUUGUCCUGAGCAACUAGAAGGACAGAGUGGACAUUAACUGAGAUGGCGG
RNAcentral lists this long non-coding RNA (8529 nucleotides) under Heterocephalus glaber (naked mole-rat). Its description in RNAcentral is "lncRNA (ENSHGLG00000050367.1)". Lineage: Eukaryota; Metazoa; Chordata; Mammalia; Rodentia; Bathyergidae. The record is from RNAcentral.